Molecule: ribosomal RNA, 304 nt
Filed under: uncultured bacterium
Lineage: Bacteria
Description: partial 16S ribosomal RNA
Rfam family: Bacterial small subunit ribosomal RNA
Source: RNAcentral
CAGCAGCAGCCGCGGGAAUACGGAGGGUGCAAGCGUUAAUCGGAAUUACUGGGCGUAAAGCGUGCGUAGGCGGUUCGUUAAGUCUGUUGUGAAAGCCCCGGGCUCAACCUGGGAAUGGCAAUGGAUACUGGCGAGCUAGAGUGUGUCAGAGGAUGGUGGAAUUCCCGGUGUAGCGGUGAAAUGCGUAGAGAUCGGGAGGAACAUCAGUGGCGAAGGCGGCCAUCUGGGACAACACUGACGCUGAGGCACGAAAGCGUGGGGAGCAAACAGGAUUAGAUACCCCUGUAGUCCCUGUCUCUUAUAC